UACCUGGUUGAUCCUGCCAGUAGUUAUAUGCUUGUCUCAAAGAUUAAGCCAUGCAUGUCUAAGUACAGUAGCAAUUACAGUGAAACCGCGAAUGGCUCAUUAAAUCAGUCAUAAUUCCUUGGAUAGUGAUAAAACUUCCUCGGAUAACUGUGGAAAAUCCAGAGCUAAUACGUGCACCUGAGCUCCGACCUUGGCCGUUUCGGCGGUCGAGGGAAGAGCGCAAUUAUUAGUUUCAAAACUGACCGACGCAAACGAGCUGUCCGCAGUGACGCGCGUCGUUCGUCUUUUUUGAUGACUCCGGAUAAUUCCGCCGAGCGCUAAGGUCUUCGUACCGGCGCCGUAUCUUUCAAGUGACUGCCUUAUCAGCUUUCGAUUGUAGGUUAAACGCCUACAAUGGCUGUAACGGGUAACGGGGAAUCAGGGUUCGAUUCCGGAGAGGGAGCCUGAGAAACGGCUACCACAUCUAAGGAAGGCAGCAGGCACGCAAAUUACCCACUCCCAGCUCGGGGAGGUAGUGACGAAAAAUAACGAUGCGAGACUCUUCCGAGGCCUCGCAAUCGGAAUGAGUCCAGUUUAAAUCCUUGGACGAGGAUCCAUUGGAGGGCAAGUCUGGUGCCAGCAGCCGCGGUAAUUCCAGCUCCAAUAGCGUAUAUUAAAGUUGCUGUGGUUAAAAAGCUCGUAGUUGGACCUUUUAAGGCUCCAUUAACGUGGUUUAGGUUCGCUCUCGGGCGUUCGUCGAGCGUAUCGUAUCAGAAAGAUGCCGCGUGCGUGGGUGUAAGCUUUCGGGUUUCGCUCGCGUGUGCGCGCGUUCUUUCCGCGAGAACUCUCGGGCCAACCCUUGGGUGACGGCCUUUCCACGGAUGGUACGAAUACAAACUCGCUGGCUCGUUGGGAGUGCUCUUUAUCGAGUGUUCUCGGCGGCUAGCACGUUCACUUUGAAAAAAUUAGAGUGCUUAAAGCGGGCCCUAUGUCAAGUCCGUAUGGUGGUGCAUGGAAUGAAGGAACAGGACUUUGGUUCCGUUCUUUUUGUCGGUUUUACCGAACUAAAGUAAUGAUUAAAAGGAACAGACGGUGGCAUUAGUAUUGCGACGCUAGAGGUGAAAUUCUUGGACCGUCGCAAGACUACCUACUGCGAAAGCAUUUGCCGAGCAUGUUUUCAUUAAUCAAGAACGAAAGUUAGAGGAUCGAAGGCGAUCAGAUACCGCCCUAGUUCUAACCCUAAACUAUGCUAACUAGCUAUCCGCCGAAGUCAUUCCCACGACUCGGCGGGACGCCCCGGGAAACCAAAGUUUUUGAGUUCCGGGGGAAGUAUGGUUGCAAAUCUGAAACUUAAAGGAAUUGACGGAAGGGCACCACCAGGAGUGGAGCCUGCGGCUUAAUUUGACUCAACACGGGAAAACUUACCAGGCCCGGACAUCAGAAGGAUUGACAGAUUGAGAGCUCUUUCUCGAUUUGAUGGGUGGUGGUGCAUGGCCGUUCUUAGUUGGUGGAGUGAUCUGUCUGGUUGAUUCCGAUAACGAACGAGACUCUAUCGUACUAACUAGUCGGCGGAUCGUUACCCUGGAAUGGCGAGCUUUGGGAUGGCGACUUUUCGGAGUAAUUUCGGUUUCUUCGGGAGGGAGUCGUUUCUAGCGAGCUUAACACGGGGGCGUUCGUCGCAAUGUAUCUUCUUAGAAGGAUCAGCGGUGUCUAGCCGCACGAGAAAGAGCAAUAACAGGUCUGUGAUGCCCUUAGAUGUUCUGGGCCGCACGCGCGCUACAAUGUAAGCGUCAGCGUGCUUUCCCCCUCCGAAAGGAUCGGGUAACCCUUUGAAAUUUUUACACGCUGGGGAUUGGGGAUUGCAAAUAUUCCCCAUAAACGAGGAAUUCCCAGUAGGCGCGAAUCAUUAGUUCGCGCCGAUUACGUCCCUGCCCUUUGUACACACCGCCCGUCGCUACUACCGAUUGAAUGAUUCAGUGAGGGCAUCGGACUGGCGCCAUUGGCAAGGGGCUUUCGGGUCCCUACCUAAGGCUGACGGAAAGAUGUCCGAACUCGAUCAUUUAGAGGAAGUAAAAGUCGUAACAAGGUUUCCGUAGGUGAACCUGCGGAAGGAUCAUUA
RNAcentral lists this ribosomal RNA (2098 nucleotides) under Janira maculosa. RNAcentral describes it as "SSU rRNA". It matches the Rfam family "Eukaryotic small subunit ribosomal RNA". Lineage: Eukaryota; Metazoa; Arthropoda; Malacostraca; Isopoda; Janiridae. The record is from RNAcentral.